CCUACGGGAGGCAGCAGUGGGGAAUAUUGCACAAUGGGGGAAACCCUGAUGCAGCGACGCCGCGUGAGUGAAGAAGUAUUUCGGUAUGUAAAGCUCUAUCAGCAGGGAAGAAAUAGCGACCUUUGGGUCGCCAGACGGUACCUGAUUCAGACGCCCCGACUAACUACGUGCCAGCAGCGGCGGUAAUACGUAGGGGGAAAGCGUUAUCAGGAUUUACUGGGUGUAAAGGGAGCGUAGACGGCAGCGCAAGUCUGAAGUGAAAUGCCGGGGCUUAACCCCGGAACUGCGUUUGAAACUGUGCAGCUAGAGGGCAGGAGAGGUAAGUGGAAUUGCUAGUGUAGCGGUGAAAUGCGUAGAUAUUAGGAGGAACACCAGUGGCGAAGGCGGCUUACUGGACUGUAACUGACGUUGAGGCUCGAAAGCGUGGGGAGCAAACAGGAUUAGAUACCCCUGUAGUC
RNAcentral lists this ribosomal RNA (458 nucleotides) under uncultured bacterium. RNAcentral's name for it is "partial 16S ribosomal RNA". It matches the Rfam family "Bacterial small subunit ribosomal RNA", at positions 338 to 795 of the family's 1533-position model. The record is from RNAcentral.